This 468-nucleotide ribosomal RNA is filed under the name uncultured bacterium. RNAcentral's name for it is "partial 16S ribosomal RNA". It matches the Rfam family "Bacterial small subunit ribosomal RNA", at positions 28 to 507 of the family's 1533-position model. The record is from RNAcentral.
GACGAACGCUGGCGGCGUGCUUAACACAUGCAAGUCGAACGGAAAGGCCCUGCUUUUGUGCGGUGCUCGAGUGGCGAACGGGUGAGUAACACGUGAGUAACCUGCCCUUGACUUUGGGAUAACUUCAGGAAACUGGGGCUAAUACCGGAUAGGAGCUCCUGCUGCAUGGUGGGGGUUGGAAAGUUUCGGCGGUUGGGGAUGGACUCGCGGCUUAUCAGCUUGUUGGUGGGGUAGUGGCUUACCAAGGCUUUGACGGGUAGCCGGCCUGAGAGGGUGACCGGCCACAUUGGGACUGAGAUACGGACCAGACUCCUACGGGAGGCAGCAGUGGGGAAUAUUGCACAAUGGGCGGAAGCCUGAUGAAGCAACGCCGCGUGCGGGAUGACGGCCUUCGGGUUGUAAACCGCUUUCGCCUGUGACGAAGCGUGAGUGACGGUAAUGGGUAAAGAAGCACCGGCUAACUACGUG